AACGAACGCUGGCGGCAUGCCUAACACAUGCAAGUCGAACGGGAUCCUAGCUUGCUAGGUGAGAGUGGCGGACGGGUGAGUAACACGUGGGAAUCUGCCUUUUGGUUCGGGAUAACCGCGGGAAACUGCGGCUAAUACCGAAUGCCCUCGAGAGAGGAAAGAUUUAUCGCCAGAAGAGGAGCCCGCGUCCGAUUAGGUAGUUGGUGGGGUAAAGGCCUACCAAGCCGACGAUCGGUAGCUGGUCUGAGAGGAUGAUCAGCCUCACUGGAACUGACACACGGUCCAGACUCCUACGGGAGGCAGCAGUAGGGAAUAUUGCACAAUGGGCGAAAGCCUGAUGCAGCGACGCCGCGUGAGUGAUGAAGGACUUCGGUUUGUAAAGCUCUGUUGUCAGGGAAUAAAAAAAUGAAUGUACCUGACGAGAAAGGACCGGCUAACUUCGUGCCAGCAGCCGCGGUAAU
This 461-nucleotide ribosomal RNA is filed under the name uncultured bacterium. RNAcentral's name for it is "bacterial SSU rRNA". It matches the Rfam family "Bacterial small subunit ribosomal RNA", at positions 29 to 524 of the family's 1533-position model. The record is from RNAcentral.